AACGAACGCUGGCGGCAUGCCUAACACAUGCAAGUCGAACGAAACCGUCGGGUCUAGUGGCGCACGGGUGCUGAACGCGGGGUAACCUGCCUGUAGGUUCGGAAUAACUCAGAGAAGUUUGAGCUAAGACCGGAUGAUGUCUUCGGACCAAAGAUUUAUCGCCUUUAGAUGGGCCCGCGUUGGUUUGGCUGGUUGGUGGGGUAAAGGCCUACCAAGGCGACGAUGCAUAGCUGGUCUGAGAGGAUGAUCAGCCAGACUGGGAAUGAGACCCGGCCCAGAACCGUACGGAAGGCAGCAGUGGGGAAUAUUAGACGAUGGGCGAAAGCCUGACACAGCCAUGCCGCGUGAGUGAUGAAGGCCUUAGGGUUGUAAAGCCCUUUUACCCGAGAUGAUAAUGACAGUAACGGGAGAAUAAGCUCCGGCUAACUACGUG
RNAcentral lists this ribosomal RNA (433 nucleotides) under uncultured bacterium. RNAcentral's name for it is "partial 16S ribosomal RNA". It matches the Rfam family "Bacterial small subunit ribosomal RNA", at positions 29 to 507 of the family's 1533-position model. The record is from RNAcentral.